Molecule: long non-coding RNA, 709 nt
Filed under: Fukomys damarensis (Damara mole-rat)
Lineage: Eukaryota; Metazoa; Chordata; Mammalia; Rodentia; Bathyergidae
Description: lncRNA (ENSFDAG00000031144.1)
Source: RNAcentral
GAUCCCCCGGAAGAAAGCUCCAUUUCUGCUCAAAACCCAUCCCUGACCUUUUUGUUGAAGAAGAACAAAAUAAUGUAGUAACAAAAACACAAGUGGCUGCCAAGGGAAAGGAGAGAGGAAAAAAAAAAGAGUUCCUGUAAGGGACUGAAACAAUAAAUCUCUCUGCUGAACUCCCUGAGGGAGUGUGUGUGUUUCCUCCCGUUCUUUAUCAGAGUCCCCAAAAUAAGUAGGGGCGGGCAGGGGCUCUGGGGCUCCCCACACCUUCUCCACUUGCUGCAGGGCCUGGGCUGAAGGGAACCAGCCGUGCCUCGUCUGCAGAGGAGCCUCGAGACCCCCAGCACCAUGACUUGGCUUCCAGCAGCCACCGUUCUCCUGCUCCUGCUCUCUGGCCUCUGCCAUGGGGAUGCCACAGGUGCUGCAAAUACAUUUACUAGUGGACCAGCACCAGCAACAGCUUCCUCAACAAAAUUAUCUGUAUCAACACCAAUCUCCAUCAGUGGGGUUACUGAACCAACAUCAGAAACAUCUCCUAAAGGAAACAUAACCCCUAACAUCACAAGCAAUGAAUCUGUCACCGCAGAAGAUAGAGUGACAACUCCUGCACUUUCAAGUGUUCUUCCAACACUCCAGAGCUCCCCGAACAUGAGUGAGUAUGAGGGUUCCCGGUGUUGUGUUUGAGGGGCGUGUGCAUGGAAUGGCCUCAGAUUGC